Molecule: long non-coding RNA, 364 nt
Filed under: Capsicum annuum
Lineage: Eukaryota; Viridiplantae; Streptophyta; Magnoliopsida; Solanales; Solanaceae
Description: long non-coding RNA (CANN_LNC011033)
Source: RNAcentral
GAAAACUCAACCAAGUGUUUGGCAGUGCGACAGUCACCCACAUAGUGUUCCUUUGCACCACAUCGAAAACAAACAUAUGUUCUAACCGCAUCACUUUUUUCAUCUUUUCCUUGUUCCUUUUGACGGUAUCCUUUCUUUGUUGAAUGAUUAACACCAAAAAUAUGAUUUCUUUCCUGACAAUAAUCACGACCACGAUCACGAUCACGUUCAUGAUCGAAAUCAGGUCCCCAAUUUUUUCCAUGCCUAACAUGGUGGGCGUACACCUCAUCACUUCUGGAAAUAGUGUUGAUUUAAUAGGUGUAUUUUCAUGAUUUUUUAUUUAUAAUUUAUUAUUUUGUUCAGCCACAAGAAGAUGAGAACUCAG